GACGAACGCUGGCGGCGUGCCUAAUACAUGCAAGUAGAACGCACAGUUUAUACCGUAGCUUGCUACACCAUAAACUGUGAGUUGCGAACGGGUGAGUAACGCGUAGGUAACCUGCCUGGUAGCGGGGGAUAACUAUUGGAAACGAUAGCUAAUACCGCAUAAUAUUGAUUAUUGCAUGAUAAUUGAUUGAAAGAUGCUAUUGCAUCACUACCAGAUGGACCUGCGUUGUAUUAGCUAGUAGGUGAGGUAACGGCUCACCUAGGCGACGAUACAUAGCCGACCUGAGAGGGUGAUCGGCCACACUGGGACUGAGACACGGCCCAGACUCCUACGGGAGGCAGCAGUAGGGAAUCUUCGGCAAUGGACGAAAGUCUGACCGAGCAACGCCGCGUGAGUGAAGAAGGGUUUCGGAUCGUAAAGAUCUGUUGUAAGAGAAGAACGGGUGUGAGAGUGGAAAGUUCACACUGUGACGGUAUCUUACCAGAAAGGGACGGCUAACUACGUG
RNAcentral lists this ribosomal RNA (505 nucleotides) under uncultured bacterium. RNAcentral describes it as "partial 16S ribosomal RNA". It matches the Rfam family "Bacterial small subunit ribosomal RNA", at positions 28 to 507 of the family's 1533-position model. The record is from RNAcentral.